RNAcentral lists this ribosomal RNA (1158 nucleotides) under Listeria monocytogenes LM201. Its description in RNAcentral is "bacterial LSU rRNA". It matches the Rfam family "Bacterial large subunit ribosomal RNA", at positions 822 to 1975 of the family's 2925-position model. Lineage: Bacteria; Bacillati; Bacillota; Bacilli; Caryophanales; Listeriaceae. The record is from RNAcentral.
AGAAAUUCCAAUCGAACUUGGAGAUAGCUGGUUCUCUCCGAAAUAGCUUUAGGGCUAGCCUCGAGGUAAAGAGUCAUGGAGGUAGAGCACUGUUUGGACUAGGGGCCCUUCUCGGGUUACCGAAUUCAGAUAAACUCCGAAUGCCAUGUACUUAUACUCGGGAGUCAGACUGCGAGUGAUAAGAUCCGUAGUCGAAAGGGAAACAGCCCAGACCACCAGUUAAGGUCCCCAAAUAUAUGUUAAGUGGAAAAGGAUGUGGGGUUGCUUAGACAACCAGGAUGUUGGCUUAGAAGCAGCCACCAUUGAAAGAGUGCGUAAUAGCUCACUGGUCGAGUGACCCCGCGCCGAAAAUGUACCGGGGCUAAACAUAUUACCGAAACUGUGGAUGAACCUCUUUAGAGGUUCGUGGUAGGAGAGCGUUCUAAGGGCGGUGAAGUCAGACCGGAAGGACUGGUGGAGCGCUUAGAAGUGAGAAUGCCGGUAUGAGUAGCGAAAGAAGGGUGAGAAUCCCUUCCACCGAAUAUCUAAGGUUUCCUGAGGAAGGCUCGUCCGCUCAGGGUUAGUCGGGACCUAAGCCGAGGCCGAUAGGCGUAGGCGAUGGACAACAGGUAGAGAUUCCUGUACCAGUGCUAAUUGUUUAACCGAUGGGGUGACACAGAAGGAUAGGGAAUCGCACGAAUGGAAAUGUGCGUCCAAGCAGUGAGUGUGAGAAGUAGGCAAAUCCGCUUCUCGCGAAGCAUGAGCUGUGAUGGGGAAGGAAAUUAAGUACGGAAGUUCCUGAUUUCACGCUGUCAAGAAAAGCCUCUAGGAAGAGUAGUACUGCCCGUACCGCAAACCGACACAGGUAGAUGAGGAGAGAAUCCUAAGGUGAGCGAGAGAACUCUCGUUAAGGAACUCGGCAAAAUGACCCCGUAACUUCGGGAGAAGGGGUGCUCUAUUAGGGUGCAAGCCCGAGAGAGCCGCAGUGAAUAGGCCCAGGCGACUGUUUAGCAAAAACACAGGUCUCUGCAAAACCGUAAGGUGACGUAUAGGGGCUGACGCCUGCCCGGUGCUGGAAGGUUAAGAGGAGUGCUUAGCUUCGGCGAAGGUACGAAUUGAAGCCCCAGUAAACGGCGGCCGUAACUAUAACGGUCCUAAGGUAGCGAAAUUCCUUGUCGG